This 319-nucleotide long non-coding RNA is filed under the name Selaginella moellendorffii. Its description in RNAcentral is "long non-coding RNA (SMOE_LNC000400)". The record is from RNAcentral. Lineage: Eukaryota; Viridiplantae; Streptophyta; Lycopodiopsida; Selaginellales; Selaginellaceae.
CGUAGUCUCUGAGAUGUUUUAUUUAUUUAGUCUCGAAGAGACGGCCUCCUACGAUCUGGACUAAGUAGGAGCUCAGAAGAUUUAUUACCACAGCAGAAAAACAAAAAAAUACCGUAGAAUUUGUUGCUAAUAUGAAUGGAGCUACCAUCCACAAAGUGUGUGUCGCUUAUAGUCUGCUUCUCCUGUUUAACAACACGGAUGAAAUAAAUGGAAGAGGAAAAAGAGAAUGACUCUACGUACCCUCGGUCCAGAUUGCUCGAUUGUAAAGGUGGCCAUUGAACCUCUGAAUCGCCAAGUAAUCUUUGCACCAGCUUCCACG